CUUUCUUCGGAGAGCGAGUAGAGUGGCGAACGGGUGAGUAACACGUGGGUAACCUGCCCUGAGAUGGGGGACAACCCGGGGAAACCCGGGCUAAUACCGCAUAAGCCUUAGGAUUUUACGGAAGCCUAAGGGAAAGCCUUCGGGCGCCUCAGGAGGGGCCCGCGUCCAAUUAGCUAGUUGGUGGGGUAAGAGCUCACCAAGGCGACGAUUGGUAGCCGGUCUGAGAGGACGGACGGCCACACUGGGACUGAGACACGGCCCAGUCUCCUACGGGAGGCAGCAGUGGGGAAUUUUGCGCAAUGGGCGAAAGCCUGACGCAGCAACGCCGCGUGGAGGACGAAGGCUUUCGAGUCGUAAACUCCUGUCCUCGGGGACGAAGCCAGUGACGGUACCCGGGGAGGAAGCCCCGGCUAACUCCGUGCCAGCAGCCGCGGUAAUACGGGGGGGGCAAGCGUUGUUCGGAUUUACUGGGCGUAAAGGGCGCGUANGCGGCCUGAGAAGUUUUGGGUGAAAGUCCUCGGCUCAACCGAGGAAGUGCCUGGAAAACCAUCGGGCUGGAGUGCUGGAGAGGCAAGCGGAAUUCCUGGUGUAGCGGUGAAAUGCNUANA
Molecule: ribosomal RNA, 608 nt
Filed under: uncultured bacterium
Lineage: Bacteria
Description: bacterial SSU rRNA
Rfam family: Bacterial small subunit ribosomal RNA
Source: RNAcentral